AAGAUGGCAGCUGAUGUUUUUGAUUUGGAGGACCAAGACUUGUAACAGCUGGUGGGAUUAUGGCAAAGGCUGUUCUAGCAAUAAAAAAUAAAUAAACUUUACAACUUUACUCUACAUAGUUUUCUUAUGAUGGGUCUCCUACAUGUGUUGCCUCUUACUAGGAAUUAGGACCAGAAAAGUGUGUGUGUAUAGUCUGGAAUAAAAGGAUAACUUUUCUGAACAACAUUGUGGAGUCGUAUUGCAAGCUAGACACGACACGUUAUGAUCAUCAUCUAGCAACGUCAUCCAAACAAUUGCGGAUUUCUGCAUUAAAAGCUUUCAAAUUAAAAUACUAUAGUACUGUAUGUCUUACUUGCAGUAUAGCACGCGAUACAGUUUAUAACUUUUUAUGAAUCUAAUAAUGCUCGAUUCUAGAGAGAACUUUGAAACCAAAGGAUGAACUACAAAGGAAAUUUGUUUCUUUAGGUAAACAGAACUUUAAAUGUAUAUGAAAUACUUAUUUGUUUGAAACAGUUUGUUGAAGAUCUUCAAUAAAAUUUAUGAAUAAAAUA
Molecule: long non-coding RNA, 551 nt
Organism: Anneissia japonica
Lineage: Eukaryota; Metazoa; Echinodermata; Crinoidea; Comatulida; Comatulidae
Exons: 2
Source: RefSeq, a predicted model, not a curated record